GAUGAACGCUGGCGGCGUGCUUAACACAUGCAAGUCGAACGAAGCACUUUAUUUGAUUUCCUUCGGGACUGAUUAUUUUGUGACUGAGUGGCGGACGGGUGAGUAACGCGUGGGUAACCUGCCUUGUACAGGGGGAUAACAGUUGGAAACGGCUGCUAAUACCGCAUAAGCGCACAGCAUCGCAUGAUGCAGUGUGAAAAACUCCGGUGGUAUAAGAUGGACCCGCGUUGGAUUAGCUAGUUGGUGAGGUAACGGCCCACCAAGGCGACGAUCCAUAGCCGACCUGAGAGGGUGACCGGCCACAUUGGGACUGAGACACGGCCCAAACUCCUACGGGAGGCAGCAGUGGGGAAUAUUGCACAAUGGGCGAAAGCCUGAUGCAGCGACGCCGCGUGAGCGAAGAGGUAUUUCGGUAUGUAAAGCUCUAUCAGCAGGGAAGAUAAUGACGGUACCUGACGAAGAAGCACCGGCUAAAUACGUG
This 481-nucleotide ribosomal RNA is filed under the name uncultured bacterium. RNAcentral describes it as "partial 16S ribosomal RNA". It matches the Rfam family "Bacterial small subunit ribosomal RNA", at positions 28 to 507 of the family's 1533-position model. The record is from RNAcentral.